UGGAGUGCUCAUACCGAGGGGGAAACACCCGUUCCCAUUCCGAAUACGGAAGUUAAGCCCCUCAGGGCCGAUGGUACUAUACUCGUAAGGGUACGGGAGAGUAGGUUGGUGCUCCUU
RNAcentral lists this ribosomal RNA (117 nucleotides) under Candidatus Omnitrophica bacterium CG23_combo_of_CG06-09_8_20_14_all_40_11. The record is from RNAcentral. Lineage: Bacteria; Pseudomonadati; Candidatus Omnitrophota.